RNAcentral lists this ribosomal RNA (542 nucleotides) under Salmonella enterica subsp. enterica serovar Anatum. RNAcentral's name for it is "partial 23S ribosomal RNA". It matches the Rfam family "Bacterial large subunit ribosomal RNA", at positions 1114 to 1663 of the family's 2925-position model. Lineage: Bacteria; Pseudomonadati; Pseudomonadota; Gammaproteobacteria; Enterobacterales; Enterobacteriaceae. The record is from RNAcentral.
AGCCAUCAUUUAAAGAAAGCGUAAUAGCUCACUGGUCGAGUCGGCCUGCGCGGAAGAUGUAACGGGGCUAAACCAUGCACCGAAGCUGCGGCAGCGACACUCAGGUGUUGUUGGGUAGGGGAGCGUUCUGUAAGCCUGCGAAGGUGUGUCGUGAGGCAUGCUGGAGGUAUCAGAAGUGCGAAUGCUGACAUAAGUAACGAUAAAGCGGGUGAAAAGCCCGCUCGCCGGAAGACCAAGGGUUCCUGUCCAACGUUAAUCGGGGCAGGGUGAGUCGACCCCUAAGGCGAGGCCGAAAGGCGUAGUCGAUGGGAAACGGGUUAAUAUUCCCGUACUUGGUGUUACUGCGAAGGGGGGACGGAGAAGGCUAUGUUGGCCGGGCGACGGUUGUCCCGGUUUAAGCGUGUAGGUGUGUGUUCCAGGUAAAUCCGGAACACUGAGGCGUGAUGACGAGGCACUACGGUGCUGAAGCAACAAAUGCCCUGCUUCCAGGAAAAGCCUCUAAGCAUCAGGUAACAUCAAAUCGUACCCCAAACCGACACAGG